This 497-nucleotide ribosomal RNA is filed under the name uncultured bacterium. Its description in RNAcentral is "partial 16S ribosomal RNA". It matches the Rfam family "Bacterial small subunit ribosomal RNA", at positions 28 to 507 of the family's 1533-position model. The record is from RNAcentral.
GAUGAACGCUGGCGGCGUGCCUAAUACAUGCAAGUCGAGCGAACGGACGAGAAGCUUGCUUUUCUGAUGUUACCGGCGGACGGGUGAGUAACACGUGGAUAACCUACCUAUAAGACUGGGAUAACUUCGGGAACCCGGAGCUAAUACCCGUUAAUAUUUUGAACCGCAUGGUUCAAAAGUGAAAGACGGUCUUGCUGUCACUUAUUGAUGGAUCCGGGCUGCAUUAGCUAGGUGGUAAGGUAACGGCUUACCAAGGCUACGAUGCAUAGCCGACCUGAGAGGGUGAUCGGCCACACUGGAACUGAGACACGGUCCAGACUCCUACGGGAGGCAGCAGUAGGGAAUCUUCCGCAAUGGGCGAAAGCCUGACGGAGCAACGCCGCGUGAGUGAUGAAGGUCUUCGGAUCGUAAAACUCUGUUAUUAGGGAAGAACAUAAGUGUAAGUAACUGUGCACAUCUUGACGGUACCUAAUCAGAAAGCCACGGCUAACUACGUG